CCUACGGGAGGCAGCAGUGGGGAAUAUUUGGCAAUGGGCGCCAGCCUGACCCAGCAACGCCGCGUGAAGGAAGAAGGCUUUCGGGUUGUAAACUUCUUUUGUCAGGGAAGAGUAGCAGACGUUACCUGACGACUAAGCCACUGCUAACUACGUGCCAGCAAGCGCGGUAAUACUUAGGUGGCAAACGUUAUCCGGCUUUACUGGGAGUAAAGGGACCGUAGGCGGCAGUGCAAGGCUGAAGUUAAAGACCGCGGACUAAAUGCCGGACUGCUUUGGAAACUGCCCGGCUAGAGUGCUGGAGAGGUAAGCGGAAUUCCUAGUGUAGCGGUGAAAUGCGUAGAUAUUAGGAGGAACACCAGUGGCGAAGGCGGCUUACUGGACAGUAACUGACGUUGAGGCACGAAAGCGUGGGGAGCAAACAGGAUUAGAUACCCUAGUAGUC
This 442-nucleotide ribosomal RNA is filed under the name uncultured bacterium. Its description in RNAcentral is "partial 16S ribosomal RNA". It matches the Rfam family "Bacterial small subunit ribosomal RNA", at positions 338 to 795 of the family's 1533-position model. The record is from RNAcentral.